RNAcentral lists this ribosomal RNA (1372 nucleotides) under uncultured bacterium. RNAcentral describes it as "bacterial SSU rRNA". It matches the Rfam family "Bacterial small subunit ribosomal RNA", at positions 28 to 1381 of the family's 1533-position model. The record is from RNAcentral.
GAUGAACGCUGGCGGCGUGCCUAAUACAUGCAUUUCGAGCGAACGGACGAGAAGCUUGCUUCUCUGAUGUUAGCGGCGGACGGGUGAGUAACACGUGGAUAACCUACCUAUAAGACUGGGAUAACUUCGGGAAACCGGAGCUAAUACCGGAUAAUAUUUUGAACCGCAUGGUUCAAAAGUGAAAGACGGUCUUGCUGUCACUUAUAGAUGGAUCCGCGCUGCAUUAGCUAGUUGGUAAGGUAACGGCUUACCAAGGCAACGAUGCAUAGCCGACCUGAGAGGGUGAUCGGCCACACUGGAACUGAGACACGGUCCAGACUCCUACGGGAGGCAGCAGUAGGGAAUCUUCCGCAAUGGGCGAAAGCCUGACGGAGCAACGCCGCGUGAGUGAUGAAGGUCUUCGGAUCGUAAAACUCUGUUAUUAGGGAAGAACAUAUGUGUAAGUAACUGUGCACAUCUUGACGGUACCUAAUCAGAAAGCCACGGCUAACUACGUGCCAGCAGCCGCGGUAAUACGUAGGUGGCAAGCGUUAUCCGGAAUUAUUGGGCGUAAAGCGCGCGUAGGCGGUUUUUUAAGUCUGAUGUGAAAGCCCACGGCUCAACCGUGGAGGGUCAUUGGAAACUGGAAAACUUGAGUGCAGAAGAGGAAAGUGGAAUUCCAUGUGUAGCGGUGAAAUGCGCAGAGAUAUGGAGGAACACCAGUGGCGAAGGCGACUUUCUGGUCUGUAACUGACGCUGAUGUGCGAAAGCGUGGGGAUCAAACAGGAUUAGAUACCCUGGUAGUCCACGCCGUAAACGAUGAGUGCUAAGUGUUAGGGGGUUUCCGCCCCUUAGUGCUGCAGCUAACGCAUUAAGCACUCCGCCUGGGGAGUACGACCGCAAGGUUGAAACUCAAAGGAAUUGACGGGGACCCGCACAAGCGGUGGAGCAUGUGGUUUAAUUCGAAGCAACGCGAAGAACCUUACCAAAUCUUGACAUCCUUUGACAACUCUAGAGAUAGAGCUUUCCCCUUCGGGGGACAAAGUGACAGGUGGUGCAUGGUUGUCGUCAGCUCGUGUCGUGAGAUGUUGGGUUAAGUCCCGCAACGAGCGCAACCCUUAAGCUUAGUUGCCAUCAUUAAGUUGGGCACUCUAAGUUGACUGCCGGUGACAAACCGGAGGAAGGUGGGGAUGACGUCAAAUCAUCAUGCCCCUUAUGAUUUGGGCUACACACGUGCUACAAUGGACAAUACAAAGGGCAGCGAAACCGUGAGGUCAAGCAAAUCCCAUAAAGUUGUUCUCAGUUCGGAUUGUAGUCUGCAACUCGACUACAUGAAGCUGGAAUCGCUAGUAAUCGUAGAUCAGCAUGCUACGGUGAAUAAGUUCCCGGGUCU